GAUCAUGGCUCAGGAUGAACGCUAGCUACAGGCUUAACACAUGCAAGUCGAGGGGUAGCAGGGUAGCAAUACCGCUGACGACCGGCGCACGGGUGAGUAACACGUAUCCAACCUUCCCAUAACUCAGGGAUAGCCUUUCGAAAGAAAGAUUAAUACCUGAUAGUACUUUUUCAAGGCAUCUUGAGAAAGUUAAAGAUUUAUUGGUUAUGGAUGGGGAUGCGUUCCAUUAGAUAGUUGGUGAGGUAACGGCUCACCAAGUCUUCGAUGGAUAGGGGUUCUGAGAGGAAGGUCCCCCACAUUGGUACUGAGACACGGACCAAACUCCUACGGGAGGCAGCAGUGAGGAAUAUUGGUCAAUGGGCGAGAGCCUGAACCAGCCAAGUAGCGUGAAGGAUGAAGGUCCUAUGGAUUGUAAACUUCUUUUAUAGUAGAAUAAAGUGAUCCACGUGUGGAUUUUUGUAUGUAUACUAUGGAUAAGGAUCGGCUAACUCCGUGCCAGCAGCCGC
RNAcentral lists this ribosomal RNA (506 nucleotides) under uncultured bacterium. Its description in RNAcentral is "bacterial SSU rRNA". It matches the Rfam family "Bacterial small subunit ribosomal RNA", at positions 15 to 518 of the family's 1533-position model. The record is from RNAcentral.